ACCGAAUUUUGAAAUUCGGGGGAGCUAGAACAGCCGCUAGCCAGAGAAGAAGAUGGAUCUUUUCUUUCAGGAAUUGCAGAGUGAUGAUCUUGCCUUCUGGUUUGAGCUUACUCCACUGAACCAAAGCGCUUUCCUGCCCUAUUCAAGCACACCCACAAGCGAAAUUUCGGCAAGUAAUUCUGGCAAUGGAUCAAAUUCUACUAACAUGAACAAGAGAAUGAUUGACUUCAUGAGGAGAAAUUGGCCUGUAAGAGUUGGAAGUCAAGAAUCCGAGAGUGCAAGAUGUUACCGCCGGAAGAUAAGCGAGAGAAUGCGGAGAGAGAAGGAGAAGAACGGCUAUUUAGCGCUUCAUGCUGUGUUGCCCCUUGGCACCAAGAACGAUAAGAACUCGAUUGUGCAAAUGGCGGCGAAGAGAAUUCUUGAGCUGAAGCAAUAUAAGGAGGUGUUGGAGAGGAGAAACCAUGAGCUCGAAGUGAAGGCGAUCAAGGUUGGAAAUGUACCGAGGAGUAUAAAGAUUAAGUUCAAAGUAGGAAAUUCAACAUCAGGGGUUGAUUAUAUGGUGGAGGUUCUUAAGUGCUUGAAUAGCUUUGGAUCAAAAAUCACAAGCAUUAAAUCAAGGUUUUCUGAUCAAGAAGUUGCGGCAGUAAUGGAUAUUGAAACCGAGAUUUCAGAUGCUGAGAUAAGAAAGACAGUGCAGAGAACACUAGAGGAUGUUGAGAGGAAUCUUCGCAGCCAUUUUUCCGGAAGGUUGCAACAAACCUGAACCAAUAGAGUUGGUUGGCGCAUUCAUUGGCCCAAAUGAAUAUAUGCAAAGGUGGUGGUGUGAGAAAAAGUCAGUUUGCCAUUACACGUUUUGACCUUCGAAGAAAUAUCAACAACGAGUUCGCUGUCAACAUGGAUUCUUGCAUUGUGAUGAUGCUUCAAUGGAAAUGAGGCCUGAACCAGAACCCCCACACCCUCCUGAUAUGGUCUUUGGAGCUGCCAAGUGAAUCCAGUUAUUCUCAAACAAAUCUACCAUAUUGUCACAUCAGGAACUGAAGGGAGAAAAAAAAGCGAUUUUUUUUUUUAAAUGGCAAGGCAGACGAUAUUUCAUUUGCUGUUUAAAUAUGGCCCAUGACCCAGUAUGAUAGGAUCAGAUUCACAGUCCAACAACUAGCUUUAUAAGAAAAAGGACUACAGUCCAAGAAACAUAAAUGGUGCCCCAUCUGAACAGCUAGAAAGCCCAACAUGCCUACAGCUCAACGCCUCCGCACAGACUAGGGAGAAUGUUGAAGACACAACAAGAAGCUAAAAACCAAGCAUGGCGAAAGAAAGUUAGCAGAAAGAAGGCGGCUCCAAAGAACAAGUCUUCUACCUCCAAAAAAAUGCAACCGAAGACAGGAACCCACAAGAGACAAAGAAUGCUAAAACCAUGGACCAACCAGAGAAGCACAGGUUGUUCUAGGAGGGCGACGAGGCAGAACUUGGUCAACAAAAAAAUUCUACAGAGUUGGCCAUAGAAGUAGAGCCAGAAGAGCCUCCAAGGUACAUUCCCUCCCUUUAAAGGCCAAAAAUUUAUCUUAACUAUUAAAAUCUAUACACAAACAAUGUCGCUUUUUAUUUAAUUUUUUUGGUUAAAAACAUCGCCAGGUUAUUACAAGACCAUCUGGUUUUCCUGUUGACCUUGAUCCCAAGGCCAUUAAAUCUUCUAGUCAUUUACUAUUGAAGAAAUAUUAAUGACGUUCACAAUUCAAUUUUCA
Hevea brasiliensis (rubber tree) is the source of this 1739-nucleotide RNA transcript. It is a transcript of the gene named transcription factor bHLH92-like, with no coding region annotated. NCBI's taxonomy places the organism in Eukaryota, Viridiplantae, Streptophyta, Magnoliopsida, Malpighiales, Euphorbiaceae. The transcript has 4 exons. The record is from RefSeq and is a predicted model, not a curated record.